This 468-nucleotide ribosomal RNA is filed under the name uncultured bacterium. RNAcentral's name for it is "partial 16S ribosomal RNA". It matches the Rfam family "Bacterial small subunit ribosomal RNA", at positions 28 to 507 of the family's 1533-position model. The record is from RNAcentral.
GACGAACGCUGGCGGCGUGCUUAACACAUGCAAGUCGAACGGAAAGGCCCUGCUUUUGUGGGGUGCUCGAGUGGCGAACGGGUGAGUAACACGUGAGUAACCUGCCCUUGACUUUGGGAUAACUUCAGGUAACUGGGGCUAAUACCGGAUAGGAGCUCCUGCUGCAUGGUGGGGGUUGGAAAGUUUCGGCGGUUGGGGAUGGACUCUCGGCUUAACAGCUUGUUGGUGGGGUAGUGGCUUACCAAGGCUUUGACGGGUCGCCGGCCUGAGAGGGUGACCGGCCACGUUGGGACGGGAAUACGGCCCAGACUCCUACGGGAGGCAGCAGUGGGGAAUAUUGCACAAUGGGCGGAAGCCUGAUGCAGCAACGCCGCGUGCGGGAUGACGGCCUUCGGGUUGUAAACCGCUUUCGCCUGUGACGAAGCGUGAGUGACGGUAAUGGGUAAAGAAGCACCGGCUAACUACGUG